UAAAGAAAGAAAAACAGUGGUCUUCAUAUUAUCAGACAAAAUAAACUUUCCCGUAUAUCAUAAAAAAUAAAAAAAAUAAAAAAGUCUGUGACUGAGUAUUUUCGGGGCAGGGCGUCUGUAGCUAUCAUGUACAGAUGGACAUUUGUAGACAAGAAAUUUUAAGUUUUGAGUGUGACGAGAUGACAUUUGUAGCCAAGCAGAGAUAGG
Molecule: long non-coding RNA, 207 nt
Filed under: Prunus persica (peach)
Lineage: Eukaryota; Viridiplantae; Streptophyta; Magnoliopsida; Rosales; Rosaceae
Description: long non-coding RNA (PPER_LNC005621)
Source: RNAcentral